GCAGUCGCCGCGGGAAAACGUAGGUGGCAAGCGUUGUCCGGAAUUAUUGGGCGUAAAGGGCUCGCAGGCGGUUUCUUAAGUCUGAUGUGAAAGCCCCCGGCUCAACCGGGGAGGGUCAUUGGAAACUGGGAAACUUGAGUGCAGAAGAGGAGAGUGGAAUUCCACGUAUAGCGGUGAAAUGCGUAGAGAUGUGGAGGAACACCAGUGGCGAAGGCGACUCUCUGGUCUGUAACUGACGCUGAGGAGCGAAAGCGUGGGGAGCGAACAGGAUUAGAUACCCGCGUAGUCCCUGUCUCUUAUAC
RNAcentral lists this ribosomal RNA (302 nucleotides) under uncultured bacterium. RNAcentral's name for it is "partial 16S ribosomal RNA". It matches the Rfam family "Bacterial small subunit ribosomal RNA", at positions 508 to 807 of the family's 1533-position model. The record is from RNAcentral.